AGAGUUUGAUCCUGGCUCAGGACGAACGCUGGCGGCGCGCUUAACACAUGCAAGUCGAGCGAGAACCAGGACUUCGGUCCUGGGGACAGCGGCGAACGGGUGAGUAACACGUGGGUAAUCUGCCCUCGGUUCCGGGAUAGCCCGGGGAAACUCGGAUUAAUACCGGAUAGCCUCAGGAGCCUUCGGGUGAAUGAGAAAAGGUAGCUCUGGCCUCUGACCGAGGAUGAGCCCGCGGCGGAUUAGCUUGUUGGCGGGGUAAUGGCCCACCAAGGCGACGAUCCGUAGCUGGUCUGAGAGGACGAUCAGCCACACUGGGACUGAGACACGGCCCAGACUCCUACGGGAGGCAGCAGUGGGGAAUCUUGCGCAAUGGGCGAAAGCCUGACGCAGCGACGCCGCGUGGGGGAAGAAGGCCUUAGGGUUGUAAACCUCUUUCAGGUGGGACGAAGCCACUCGGGUGAAUAGCCCAGAGGGUGACGGUACCGCCAGAAGAAGCCCCGGCUAACUACGUGCCAGCAGCCGCGGUAAUAC
This 531-nucleotide ribosomal RNA is filed under the name uncultured actinomycete. RNAcentral's name for it is "bacterial SSU rRNA". It matches the Rfam family "Bacterial small subunit ribosomal RNA", at positions 8 to 526 of the family's 1533-position model. The record is from RNAcentral. Lineage: Bacteria; Bacillati; Actinomycetota; Actinomycetes; Actinomycetales.